RNAcentral lists this ribosomal RNA (468 nucleotides) under uncultured bacterium. Its description in RNAcentral is "partial 16S ribosomal RNA". It matches the Rfam family "Bacterial small subunit ribosomal RNA", at positions 28 to 507 of the family's 1533-position model. The record is from RNAcentral.
GACGAACGCUGGCGGCGUGCUUAACACAUGCAAGUCGAACGGAAAGGCCCUGCUUUUGUGGGGUGCUCGAGUGGCGAACGGGUGAGUAACACGUGAGUAACCUGCCCUUGACUUUGGGAUAACUUCAGGAAACUGGGGCUAAUACCGGAUAGGAGCUCCUGCUGCAUGGGGGGGGUUGGAAAGUUUCGGCGGUUGGGGAUGGACUCGCGGCUUAUCAGCUUGUUGGUGGGGUAGUGGCUUACCAAGGCUUUGACGGGUAGCCGGCCUGAGAGGGUGACCGGGCACAUUGGGACUGAGAUACGGACCAGACGCCUACGGGAGGCAGUAGUCGGGAAUAUUGCACAAUGGGCGGGAGCCUGAUGCAGCAACGCCGCGUGCGUGAUGACGGCCUUUGGGUUGUAAACCGCUUUCGCCUGUGACGAAGCGUGAGUGACGGUAAUGGGUAAAGAAGCAACGGCUAACUACGUG